AACGCUGGCGGCGUGCCUAAUACAUGCAAGUCGAGCGAGCUUGCCUAGAUGAAUUUGGUGCUUGCACCAAAUGAAACUAGAUACAAGCGAGCGGCGGACGGGUGAGUAACACGUGGGUAACCUGCCCAAGAGACUGGGAUAACACCUGGAAACAGAUGCUAAUACCGGAUAACAACACUAGACGCAUGUCUAGAGUUUAAAAGAUGGUUCUGCUAUCACUCUUGGAUGGACCUGCGGUGCAUUAGCUAGUUGGUAAGGUAACGGCUUACCAAGGCAAUGAUGCAUAGCCGAGUUGAGAGACUGAUCGGCCACAUUGGGACUGAGACACGGCCCAAACUCCUACGGGAGGCAGCAGUAGGGAAUCUUCCACAAUGGACGCAAGUCUGAUGGAGCAACGCCGCGUGAGUGAAGAAGGGUUUCGGCUCGUAAAGCUCUGUUGGUAGUGAAGAAAGAUAGAGGUAGUAACUGGCCUUUAUUUGACGGUAAUUACUUAGAAAGUCACGGCUAACUACGUGCCAGCAGCCGCGGUAAUACGUAGGUGGCAAGCGUUGUCCGGAUUUAUUGGGCGUAAAGCGAGUGCAGGCGGUUCAAUAAGUCUGAUGUGAAAGCCUUCGGCUCAACCGGAGAAUUGCAUCAGAAACUGUUGAACUUGAGUGCAGAAGAGGAGAGUGGAACUCCAUGUGUAGCGGUGGAAUGCGUAGAUAUAUGGAAGAACACCAGUGGCGAAGGCGGCUCUCUGGUCUGCAACUGACGCUGAGGCUCGAAAGCAUGGGUAGCGAACAGGAUUAGAUACCCUGGUAGUCCAUGCCGUAAACGAUGAGUGCUAAGUGUUGGGAGGUUUUCGGCCUGUCAGUGCUGCAGCUAACGCAUUUAAGCAAUCCGCCUGGGGAGUGCGACCGCAAGGUUGAAACUCAAAGGAAUUUGACGGGGGCCCGCACAAGCGGUGGAGCACGUGGUUUAAUUCGAGGCAAUCGCGAAGAACCUUAGCAGGUCUUGACAUCCAGUGCAAACCUAAGAGAUUAGGUGUUCCCUUCGGGGUCGCUGAGACAUGUGGUGCAUGGCUGUUUUCAGCUGGUGUCGUGAGAUGUUGGGUUAAGUCCCGCAACGAGCGCAACCCUUGUCAUUAGUU
RNAcentral lists this ribosomal RNA (1129 nucleotides) under uncultured organism. Its description in RNAcentral is "SSU rRNA". It matches the Rfam family "Bacterial small subunit ribosomal RNA", at positions 32 to 1116 of the family's 1533-position model. The record is from RNAcentral.